CGGAGAGGGAGCCUGAGAGACGGCUACCAUAUCCAAGGAUAGCAGCAGGCGCGUAAAUUACCCACUGUGGACUCCACGAGGUAGUGACGAGAAAUAUCGAUGCGAAGCGUGUAUGCGUUUUGCUAUCGGAAUGAGAGCAAUGUAAAACCCUCAUCGAGGAUCAACUGGAGGGCAAGUCUGGUGCCAGCAGCCGCGGUAAUUCCAGCUCCAGAAGCAUAUGCUAAAGUUGUUGCAGUUAAAAAGCUCGUAGUUGAAUUUCUGGCAUGGGCGACCGGUGCUUUCCCUGAAUGGGGAUUGAUUGUCUGUGUUGCCUUGGCCAUCUUUCUCWUGUYKUUUUUGGUAAGARAUCUUUCACUGUAAUCAAAGCAGAGUGUUCCAAGCAGGUCGUAUGACCGGUAUGUUUAUUAUGGGAUGAUAAGAUAGGACUUGGGUGCUAUUUUGUUGGUUUGCACGCCUGAGUAAUGGUUAAUAGGAACAGUUGGGGGUAUUCGUAUUUAGGAGCUAGAGGUGAAAUUCUUGGAUUUCCGAAAGACGAACUAGAGCGAAGGCAUUUACCAAGCAUGUUUUCAUUAAUCAAGAACGAAAGUCUGGGGAUCGAAGAUGAUUAGAUAC
Molecule: ribosomal RNA, 612 nt
Filed under: Aurantiochytrium sp.
Lineage: Eukaryota; Bigyra; Thraustochytrida; Thraustochytriidae
Description: SSU rRNA
Rfam family: Eukaryotic small subunit ribosomal RNA
Source: RNAcentral